RNAcentral lists this unclassified non-coding RNA (255 nucleotides) under Hevea brasiliensis (rubber tree). Lineage: Eukaryota; Viridiplantae; Streptophyta; Magnoliopsida; Malpighiales; Euphorbiaceae. The record is from RNAcentral.
AGGCACUAUAACUAGUAGAAUUCUUUAUUAAAUGGAUAAAAGGCACCUACCCAACCGCGUAGAAACUAUACCCAUCAAGGUGCCAAGACUGGAUGGUCGUUUCUGUGUUCUGGAACACAAUUUCAACGAAGUCAUGAAGUGUAGUUCCAAUAACAGAUGUGCCGAAGGCUGCUGGGGCAUUUGUAGGUGCAUCCUUAAUGGAGUUCAAGGUAAAGACACCAGGAAUGUUAAACCAGUCAGCAAGCUUCAAUGGGG